This 672-nucleotide ribosomal RNA is filed under the name Staphylococcus saprophyticus. RNAcentral describes it as "bacterial SSU rRNA". It matches the Rfam family "Bacterial small subunit ribosomal RNA", at positions 55 to 710 of the family's 1533-position model. The record is from RNAcentral. Lineage: Bacteria; Bacillati; Bacillota; Bacilli; Caryophanales; Staphylococcaceae.
AUGCAGUCGAGCGAACAGAUAAGGAGCUUGCUCCUUUGACGUUAGCGGCGGACGGGUGAGUAACACGUGGGUAACCUACCUAUAAGACUGGGAUAACUUCGGGAAACCGGAGCUAAUACCGGAUAACAUUUGGAACCGCAUGGUUCUAAAGUGAAAGAUGGUUUUGCUAUCACUUAUAGAUGGACCCGCGCCGUAUUAGCUAGUUGGUAAGGUAACGGCUUACCAAGGCGACGAUACGUAGCCGACCUGAGAGGGUGAUCGGCCACACUGGAACUGAGACACGGUCCAGACUCCUACGGGAGGCAGCAGUAGGGAAUCUUCCGCAAUGGGCGAAAGCCUGACGGAGCAACGCCGCGUGAGUGAUGAAGGGUUUCGGCUCGUAAAACUCUGUUAUUAGGGAAGAACAAACGUGUAAGUAACUGUGCACGUCUUGACGGUACCUAAUCAGAAAGCCACGGCUAACUACGUGCCAGCAGCCGCGGUAAUACGUAGGUGGCAAGCGUUAUCCGGAAUUAUUGGGCGUAAAGCGCGCGUAGGCGGUUUCUUAAGUCUGAUGUGAAAGCCCACGGCUCAACCGUGGAGGGUCAUUGGAAACUGGGAAACUUGAGUGCAGAAGAGGAAAGUGGAAUUCCAUGUGUAGCGGUGAAAUGCGCAGAGAUAUGGAGGAACACC